GCUGGGCAUGGUGGUGUGUGCCUGUGGUCCCAGCUACUUGGGAGGCUGAGGCAGGAGGAUCACUUGAGCCCAGGCGUUCAAGGAGGCAGUGAGGUAUAGUCAUGCCACUGCACUCCAGUCUGAGCAACAGAGUGAGAUCCUGUCUCUA
Papio anubis (olive baboon) is the source of this 148-nucleotide unclassified non-coding RNA. It matches the Rfam family "Metazoan signal recognition particle RNA". Rfam says of the family: The signal recognition particle (SRP) is a universally conserved ribonucleoprotein. It is involved in the co-translational targeting of proteins to membranes. The record is from Ensembl. Lineage: Eukaryota; Metazoa; Chordata; Mammalia; Primates; Cercopithecidae.